UAGGGAAUUUUCGGCAAUGGGCGAAAGCCUGACCGAGCAACGCCGCGUGAAGGAAGAAGGAAUUCGUUUUGUAAACUUCUGUCAUAGAGGAAGAACGUAUGAUCAGGGAAUGGGUCAUAAGUGACGGUACUCUAUAAGAAAGCCACGGCUAACUACGUGCCAGCAGCCGCGGUAAUACGUAGGUGGCGAGCGUUAUCCGGAAUUAUUGGGCGUAAAGAGGGAGCAGGCGGCACUAAAGGUCUGUGGUGAAAGCCCGAAGCUUAACUUCGGUAAGCCAUGGAAACCGUAGAGCUAGAGUGUGUGAGAGGAUCGUGGAAUUCCAUGUGUAGCGGUGAAAUGCGUAGAUAUAUGGAGGAACACCAGUGGCGAAGGCGACGAUCUGGCGCACAACUGACGCUCAGUCCCCGAAAAGCGUGGGGAGCAAAUAGGAUUAGAUACC
Molecule: ribosomal RNA, 439 nt
Filed under: uncultured bacterium
Lineage: Bacteria
Description: bacterial SSU rRNA
Rfam family: Bacterial small subunit ribosomal RNA
Source: RNAcentral